GAAAGUUUGAUUCUUGCUUGUAUUUUUAUUUUAUGAUUGUAUGUACAUGUAUAUUUUGGUGUGGGAGAAAAGUCGAACGUUUAAGAUGUUUACUUUAGAAUGAGUGGUGAAAGAUCGCAGUAUGGAGUGUUAAUGAUUGGACUAAGGUUCGAUUUAGUAAAUUAUAAUAAGCUUGAUUAAAUUUUGUGCCAGCAGUCGCGGUUAGACUUAAAAGUUAAGUGAAAGUAUUUCAGUUGGAGUUAUUGGGGCUGUAGGCUUUAAUUUAGAUUUAUUGAAAAUAAAGGGUGAAAUUGGUUUAUUGGGAGUAGAUUUAAGUUUUAGGGUAGAUGAAAAGAGGCUCGGAAGUUCAAGAUAUAAACUAGGAUUAGAUACCCUACUAUACUUGAAGAUAAAAUUAAUGCUUGAAUAUUAUGAGUUAUGGGCUUUAAAUUCAAAGAAUUUGGCGGUAUUCUAGUCUUGUUAGAGGAACCUGUUCUGUAAACGAUAUUACACGUAGAAUCUUACUUACUUUUGUUUUUCAGUUUGUAUACCGUCAUUAUUAGAUAACCUUUAUUGAGAGAGUUAUUGAUUUAUAAAAAAUUAAAUAUAUUAGAUCAAGGUGCAGUUCAUGGGUAAGAAGAAAUGGGUUACAAUGAAAUUAAUUUAGACGUAUUGGUAAUUGAAAAAAUUGUCAUGAAGGAGGAUUUAAUUGUAAUAUAAAUUUAAUAAGUUUAUGUGAUAUGAGAACUAGAAUAUGUACAUAUCGCCCGUCGCUUCCGUUUAAGGCGGAAUAAGUCGUAACAUAGUAGGUGUACUGGAAGGUGUACCUAGAAUUAAU
Molecule: non-coding RNA, 817 nt
Filed under: Cherax glaber
Lineage: Eukaryota; Metazoa; Arthropoda; Malacostraca; Decapoda; Parastacidae
Source: RNAcentral